GGUAGCGCAAUCACUUGUCUUUUAAAUGAAGACCUGUAUGAAUGGCAUCACGAGGGCUUAGCUGUCUCCUCUUUCAAGUCAAUGAAAUUGAUCUGCCCGUGCAGAAGCGGACAUAAGANCAUAAGACGAGAAGACCCUAUGGAGCUUUAGACACCCGGCAGACCCUGUUAAGUAGCUGAACUAUCAGAUUAAAACAAAGCGGCCCCUGGCCUACAUGUCUUCGGUUGGGGCGACCACGGGGGAAAACAAAGCCCCCACGAGGAUUAAGGAAAACCUCCUUAUAACCACGAGCGACAGCUCUAAGUCUCAGAACUUCUGACCAAAAAGAUCCGACACCAGUCGAUCAACGGACCAAGUUACCCUAGGGAUA
Molecule: ribosomal RNA, 370 nt
Filed under: Esox lucius (northern pike)
Lineage: Eukaryota; Metazoa; Chordata; Actinopteri; Esociformes; Esocidae
Description: partial 16S ribosomal RNA
Rfam family: Bacterial large subunit ribosomal RNA
Source: RNAcentral